UUUUUAUUUUUCAUAUUCCCCAAGCUGGUCGAGGCUGGAUCCCAAAGAGCGCCGCCAGGGGUGGAAUUCGGUUAUAAAAACCCUGUAGCCACGCCGAAACAAGGAUANUAGGGGGGGGGGAUGGCCCCUUCCGGCGGCAGGUAACGCAAUAAGUAUCCCCCUGGGGAGUACGAUCGCAAGGUUGAACUCAAAGGAAUUGACGGGGGCCCGCACAAGCGGUGGAGUAUGUGGUUUAAUCGAAGCAACGCGAAGAACCUUACCAGGGCUUGACAUCCUGCUAACGAACCAGAGAUGGAUUAGGUGCCCUUCGGGGAAAGCAGAGACAGGUGGUGCAUGGUUGUCGUCAGCUCGUGUCGUGAGAUGUUGGGUUAAGUCCCGCAACGAGCGCAACCCUUAUUGUUAGUUGCUACGCAAGAGCACUCUAACGAGACUGCCGUUGACAAAACGGAGGAAGGUGGGGACGACGUCAAAUCAUCAUGCCCCUUACGUCCUGGGCCACACACGUACUACAAUGGCGGCCAACAAAGAGAGGCAAGACCGCGAGGUGGAGCAAAUCUCAAAAAGCCGUCCCAGUUCGGAUCGCAGGCUGCAACCCGCCUGCGUGAAGUUGGAAUCGCUAGUAAUCGCGGAUCAGCAUGCCGCGGUGAAUACGUUCCCGGGCCUUGUACACACCGCCCGUCACACCAUGAGAGUCGGGAACACCCGAAGUCCGUAGCCUAACCGCAAGGGGGGCGCGGCCGAAGGUGGGUUCGAUAAUUGGGGUGAAGUCGUAACAAGG
This 778-nucleotide ribosomal RNA is filed under the name uncultured bacterium. RNAcentral describes it as "bacterial SSU rRNA". It matches the Rfam family "Bacterial small subunit ribosomal RNA", at positions 707 to 1496 of the family's 1533-position model. The record is from RNAcentral.